This 393-nucleotide long non-coding RNA is filed under the name Triticum aestivum (bread wheat). Its description in RNAcentral is "long non-coding RNA (TAES_LNC015933)". Lineage: Eukaryota; Viridiplantae; Streptophyta; Magnoliopsida; Poales; Poaceae. The record is from RNAcentral.
GCACAAGAAGAAGACCUAAAAGAAGUCUCAGUGUCAUAUGGGUUAGAUGAAGGAAAAAAUGAACAUAUUGAAGUCUUAAAUCAAGGUGAAGAUGAUCCACAUAGAGUUACAAUGUCAUAUAGGUCAGAACAAGAAGAUGAUCCCAAUAAAGCUACAAUGACAUAUAGGUCAGAACAAGAAGAAGAUCCACAUAAAGUUACACUGUCAUAUGGGUCAGAACAAGAAGAUGAUCCCAAUAAAGCUACAAUGACAUAUAGGUCAGAACAAGAUGAAGAAGAUCCACAUAAAGUUACAAUGUCAUAUGGGCUGGAACAAGAAGAUGAUCCCAAUAAAGCUACAAUGACAUAUAGGUCAGAACAACAAGAAGAAGAUCCACAUAAAGUUACAAUGUCA